UACGGGGGGAGCAAGCGUUGUUCGGAUUUACUGGGCGUAAAGCGUGCGCAGGCGGUUUUGUAAGUCUGGCGUGAAAUCCCCGGGCUUAACCUGGGAAUUGCGUUGGAGACUGCAAGGCUAGAAUCUGGCAGAGGGGGGUAGAAUUCCACGUGUAGCAGUGAAAUGCGUAGAGAUGUGGAGGAACACCGAUGGCGAAGGCAGCCCCCUGGGUCAAGAUUGACGCUCAUGCACGAAAGCGUGGGGGGCAAACAGG
Molecule: ribosomal RNA, 253 nt
Filed under: uncultured bacterium
Lineage: Bacteria
Description: partial 16S ribosomal RNA
Rfam family: Bacterial small subunit ribosomal RNA
Source: RNAcentral